UACGGAGGAUCCAAGCGUUAUCCGGAUUUAUUGGGUUUAAAGGGUGCGUAGGCGGCGUGUUAAGUCAGAGGUGAAAUUCGGCAGCUCAACUGUCAAAUUGCCUUUGAUACUGGCAUGCUUGAAUGCGAUUGAGGUAGGCGGAAUGUGACAUGUAGCGGUGAAAUGCUUAGAUAUGUGACAGAACACCGAUUGCGAAGGCAGCUUACCAAGUCGUUAUUGACGCUGAGGCACGAAGGCGUGGGGAGCAAACAGG
This 253-nucleotide ribosomal RNA is filed under the name uncultured bacterium. RNAcentral's name for it is "partial 16S ribosomal RNA". It matches the Rfam family "Bacterial small subunit ribosomal RNA", at positions 524 to 776 of the family's 1533-position model. The record is from RNAcentral.